AUUUAUAUAGUUUAAAGAAAACAUUAUAUUUUCAUUAUAAAGUUAGAAAUCUUUCUUAUAAAUA
This 64-nucleotide transfer RNA is filed under the name Adoretus sp. ADO01. RNAcentral's name for it is "tRNA-Glu". Lineage: Eukaryota; Metazoa; Arthropoda; Insecta; Coleoptera; Scarabaeidae. The record is from RNAcentral.